Panonychus citri (citrus red mite) is the source of this 3751-nucleotide long non-coding RNA. RefSeq lists it as uncharacterized. NCBI's taxonomy places the organism in Eukaryota, Metazoa, Arthropoda, Arachnida, Trombidiformes, Tetranychidae. The record is from RefSeq and is a predicted model, not a curated record. The transcript is spliced from 4 exons.
GGAUUAAUUAUCAUUAUUUUUUUCUUUUAAUUGUUAAUUUAAAUCACCCACAAGCUCCAGGUUGUUGACUUGACUCUACUUCGCUACUUACUACAUUACCUGAAAUCGAUUCUUUGUCUCCGUUAAUUGGUAGAUUUUGGUUAAAAUGGUUUCCCUAUGUGAGUAUUUUUCUGUAUUGAUCUUGAACAUUUUAAUUUCUUUUUGAUUAUUUGGGUUGAUGGAAAACUUUAAUUACCUGGUAAUGUAAUGGAAAUAUUUGAAAACUAAAUUCUAUUGAGAAUAACGGCUUCUUUUCUUAUUCCAACAUUCUCAUCAAAAUUGGUUAUAUUUACCAUGAUGAUCUAUGGUUAUCAUCAUACCAUCACUAACUAAGGUUCACUAAUCAUCAAUUAAGGUGUCUCCUUGUUAAAAACAAUAGUAGGAGGUGAAAGUGGAAAAGGACAAACACAUAAAAUCCUUGGACCAGUUCAAUGAAUCUCAAGAAUCUUUAACUAGAAACGUAUUAACUUAUAUCCAUAAGGAUCACCUUCUAAGAUUUACUUUCUCUUUUUUUUCUCUUCCUUUUAUUAAUCUUUCUCUAUUCUCAUCUUAGACACUAACCUUUUCUCGCUUUCUCUCCAGUCUCUCUCCUUUCACCUCUUUCAUCUCAUCAUCAUCAUCAUCAUUAUUUCCAUCAUUAUCUUCACCAUUAUAACAGUUAUUAUCCACCCAAACAUGGUACUCUCUCUCUCUAUCUAUCUAUCUCCCUUUCACACCAUCAUCAUCAUUUAAAGGUCACCUUAUAUCAAAAGCCUCUAAAUUGUGUGUCCUUCUCAUCAACUAAACCAGCAAUUCCUCAUUUUCUUUGUUUCAUCUUCUGUGGUUGGCUCAUUUUCGUGAACAAGAUUUAACCAAAAAGGAGAGAGACUCAAUUUAAUGAGCUUGUCAUUGUCAAGUGAUAUAUUUCAACUUCAUCAUCAUCUUCAUCCUCAAAUAAUUGUCACAAGGAAAUUGAGAACGAGACAAAAUCCAUGGAUGAGGGAGAGAGGAUAAAGCAAAAGAAAACAGCAAACAACAGCAAAAAAAAGCACAAUACUAAUCACAAUCAACUGAUUGUCAACUUUAAUACCCAAACAUCAUCAUCAUGACAAUUAAAGUAUAACCCCAGACACUAUCACUUGAAAAAAAAGUCCAACAUCAACUCUCAACAUGAACACUUUCAACACUAAACAUAAUCAUCAUCAUCAUGAUUAUGUCAACUAAUUUAUCACCCUCACUCGACAUCGUUAAUACCUUGGCUUGAAUCAACGUUCCUAUGAUCGUUAAUUAAACGACAAUCAACUCCAAACUGAUUGAAGGAUAAUUUUGAAACUUUUUCCUCUUCUUCAAUUCUCUUGGUGAUCAAUUGAAAUGAUCUCAAUCUCCAGUUAAUAAUGACGAUAUUUCUGAGGAUUAUCAGUUAUCAGAUGGAAAAGAAAAUAUCUUAAAGUGAAAUAAUUGUUUUCUCAUGAUGAUGAUGGAGAUGAAUAUCAUCCAAUUUAAUUUUCUUAGCAAAAUUGACUCAAAAAAAAGAGCGAACCAGAUAAAGUCAACUUUAAUUAACUAAUUAACUAACUCGCUUUGAGUGUGUUUAUAUCAAUGGAAAACGAAGCAGAAAAAAAAGCGAAACAAAUCUUAGUGAAUUUUUUUUUCGCUGCUGAGAAAAAAAAACUUUUUCUUGCUUAUCUGAACUUGGAAUCAAAGUUACAACAAUUUAGCUACAAUUGAGUUUAUUAACUGAAACAUAAGAGGAAAUGUUUAACAAGUUGAAUUUGAUGAUAAUUGUUUGGAAUCAUUUACUCUAAAGAAGUUAACAAUUAACUAACUAAUGAGAUAUUUUCCCGGGAAUAAGAAAACAAACACAAAGACAAAGAAAAUAAUAAAAUUAAAUUGCAAAUCAAUUGAUUGUGAUGAUAUGAUGCAACUCGAUUAAUUAAACUGUUGGAUAACUUGUUAAUUGCUCCCAUUUAAUUUGAUAAUCAACUUGGAUCAUGAAACAUUUUGAUUAUCUUCAAGUUAUAUUAACUUUUACUGAUGAUUUCAAGUUUUACUUUCAUUGGUUACGAUUAAGGAUGAGGAUGAAUCCAAGUUCUGCCAUCAUCAACAUCCAGGAUGAAAUAAUGGUUGUGUAAUUUUUUAUACUCUAGUUUAGUCUAGAGAGUUACAGUUGAUUGUAACUGGUUAAGCCGAUUUAAACAACAUCCUCAUCAAUAAAGUCUCAUCCUCAUCAUCAUCAUCAUCUUUACUUUCAUCUCUCCAUUUAAAACCUGUUUCUAUUAAAUUUCAAUCUUCAUCUUGAUCUGCAUCCUCAUCAUUACCAUUGUUUCCUAUUCAACUAAAUGCCUGUAAAUUCAAGAGCUGGUAAAGAUGAUAAGAAAAGGAUGAAGAUGAAAAUCCUUUACUAAUAUAAGUUGAACAAACCAACUCGAAGAUGAUAAUGAUGAUGAAGAUGAAGAUGAAGAUGAUAAUGAUAAUAAUAAAAGCUUGUCUUGCAUUUUUCAUCAAAGUGAACUAAAGAUGAUUAUUCAAGUAUCUAUUAAGAUAAAGGUUAAGGAUGAGGAUGAAGAUGAAGACCUGGAUGAUACAGUUGAAAUGUAUUAACAACAAUAGUUAAUCCAAUGUCUAAUAUCCUGAUGAUGUCGAUGAUUAAUUCAACGAGGAUCAAAGUGUUAAAACAAAGUAUCGGCAAGAUGAAGAUUCAGCAGAAAAAAAAUGAUGAGGAAGAUAAAAGAUGAAUUCAUCUAACAAAGUAUAACAAUGUAAAGGGAUGGAAAAGAUGAAACUUUAUACCAGAGAGAGAGAGAGAGAGAGAGAGAUGAAAGAUUUCCUGUCCAUAGAAAGAAGAUGAUAAUGAUGAUAAGAAAGAGACUGAUGGAAGAUAUUGUAUUUUCUAUGAAUUCUUUCACCUGAUUGAUUCAAUGUUAUUCAAUGUAUCAUCCGCAUCUUCAUCCUCAUCACAAUGAGUAGAAACACUUGAGAUGAAGUAACUAUUGUUACCUUCCGGUUGAGAAGGUAAAAAGGAGGAAGAUAAGACUAGAGAGAGGAAGAUGAUGAUGAUGAUGUACAAAUUUAACGGUGAUCAGUUUCCGGUGAAUCAUUGUGAUUGUAAGAUAAUCACAAGGCAAAGAUUAUCAGAUUAUCACCGUUUUCAUCAUCAGAACAUGAUGAUAACUUGAGGAAUAGUGAAAAAGAUGAAGAUUGAAACCUAGAAAAUUAGGCGAAGAAAAAAAAUCAAAGAUAAUUAUCUUCUUGAUGAUGAAGAUCCAUCCUGAUGAUACUUCCUCUUCCUUCAUGAUAACAGGAAAUAGUAACAGUGAAUCUUGAGGUUUCCAUGAUCAAUAAUGAGCCUGUUACAGGAACCAUUAUAAUCAUGAAGCUAUGAUAUGAUUAUGGUGUUUUUUUUUGUUCCGAUUGUUGAUUCAUGGUGAUAAUACUCAGAGUGUGAAUAUCUGAGCCAAUGAAUCAUGAUUCAUGAUGUUUCAUGAUGUCUAUGGGAAAAUGAAGGAUGAAAAUUGAUGUAAAUAAUGAUGAUACAAUUUCAAUGUAAUCAAUAAGUUACUUUUGAUGUUCAUACCUUUGAUAUUUAUGCUAUUAAACAUGAUGAUUAUAAAUCCUAUUGAUCAUCAUGAUAAGAUGAUGAAAAAUGAUUCGUUUUGUUGAACAAACUGAAUUAAAAUGAACGGAAAUAAGAAAAUUUUUUGACUUUGAUUAAUUUUGUUCAAUCAAAUGAGAA